This 1092-nucleotide long non-coding RNA is filed under the name Echeneis naucrates (live sharksucker). RNAcentral describes it as "lncRNA (ENSENLG00000007716.1)". The record is from RNAcentral. Lineage: Eukaryota; Metazoa; Chordata; Actinopteri; Carangiformes; Echeneidae.
CACCGCUGGUGUAGCCCAGGACACGUCACUGUGAAAGAGGUCUUGUGUUGUCCGGAUUUGGAACUGCUAGCCGUUAGCCUUCGGCCUUACUACAUACCCAGGGAGUUCAGUCACGUGAUCGCUCUCUGUGUUUACAUCCCUCCGAGCGCCGAUGCAGCCGUUGCCUGUGAGAAGAUCCACACAGUAACAGCAAGGCUGCAGACACAGCACCCUGAGGCGUUCAUUAUCAUCUCUGGGGAUUUUAAUCAUGCCACAUUGGACUCCACCUUGGCUGCCUUUUACCAGGCUGUAGACUGCCCCACGAGGAAUAAUAAGACAAUUGAUCUUCUGUAUACCAAUGUCAGGGAUGCAUACAGAGCCACCCCCCUCCCCCCACUUGGGAAGUCUGAUCACAAUCUGGUCCACCUACAGCCCCAGUACACCCCCCUGGUGCAAAGGCAGUCGAAUACAACACGCUCUAUCAGGAAGUGGUCGUCUGAAGUGGAGGACGCCCUGAGGGACUGCUUUGAAGCCACGGACUGGGAUGUGCUGCUGAAACCCCAUGGUGAGGACAUUGAAGGGCAGACACACUGUCUGACCGAUUAUUUAAAUUUCUGUUUAGACGUGGUGACCCCUGCUAAGACUGUACGCUGCUACCCAAACAAUAAACCCUGGGUGACUCAAGAGGUUAAAGCUGUCCUUAACAGGAAGAAGGUAGCUUUCAGGAGCAAGGACAGAGAGGCAAUUAAAUCAGCACAGCGGGAGGUGAAACAGUGCCUGAAAGAGGCAAAAAACAACUACAGGAGGAAAGUUGAACACAAACUGAGUGAAAGUCGCAUGAGGGAGGUCUGGGAUGGUGUUAAUACCAUCACAGGCCACAGGGUAAAGACUGUGACAGCAAGAGGGUCAGUGGAGGAGGCAAACAGACUUAAUAACUUUUUUAACCGGUUUGACCAGCCCACGACCCUCCCACCCUCACUGCAGCCCCCUCCUCCUCCUCCCCUCCCCCCAGUGCACCUUCUCCACAACAACAAUGCUGUCCCCUUCUCCCCCCUCCCCUCCCCACAUCCUUCUCCCUGCAUAACUGCAGACCAGGUCAGGGGAGAACUGAGG